Molecule: long non-coding RNA, 563 nt
Organism: Zalophus californianus (California sea lion)
Lineage: Eukaryota; Metazoa; Chordata; Mammalia; Carnivora; Otariidae
Exons: 3
Source: RefSeq, a predicted model, not a curated record
CCUGGGUUGGAUUUCAUAUUCGUAAAAGGUCGGAUAAGUAUUUUAGACUUUGCAGACAGAAUGCUCUCUGUGGCAGUUACUCAGGUCUGCCAUUGGAUUAUGAAAGCAGCCAUGGACAAUACAUAAACAACUGCUCUCCCUUUCACACAGAGAAGAGGAGCUGAAAGAGGCAAAGCAGAGAGAUGUGUUUUGCUGUUAACCCACACAGAAGCAAGUGAUGAAAGACUGCUGGCUCUGCCCCUUCUCUAGGUCAUCUUGGAUAAGCCAGAUGUCGGUCCUCCGGUCCUCCAGAAGAAGUCAGAGGGAAAACCCCAGGCUCUGCAAAAUUCUCAAAAGCCACUUCUCUCUGAUUACCCUGAGAAAACAACCUGGGAGCCCACCAAUGGACUUAUCUAACAUACUCCCUUUAGGAUAAUGAAGGACUCAACAGGAACACCUCCAUGAGAGUGGCUUCUCCAUGGGAUGCCCUCCACCUAAACCAUGGUUUCCACCUAAACCUCCUCUCCUGCUUGCACCCCGAGCUACGUUACAAUGAGCAUUACAUUGCUUGCGCCUCAUUACAA